AUUGAACGCUGGCGGCAUGCCUUACACAUGCAAGUCGAACGGUAACAGGUUAAGCUGACGAGUGGCGAACGGGUGAGUAAUGUAUCGGAACGUGCCCAGUCGUGGGGGAUAACUGCUCGAAAGAGCAGCUAAUACCGCAUACGACCUGAGGGUGAAAGCGGGGGAUCGCAAGACCUCGCGCGAUUGGAGCGGCCGAUAUCAGAUUAGGUAGUUGGUGAGGUAAAGGCUCACCAAGCCGACGAUCUGUAGCUGGUCUGAGAGGACGACCAGCCACACUGGGACUGAGACACGGCCCCGACUCCUACGGGAGGCAGCAGUGGGGAAUUUUGGACAAUGGGCGCAAGCCUGAUCCAGCCAUGCCGCGUGCGGGAAGAAGGCCUUCGGGUUGUAAACCGCUUUUGUCAGGGAAGAAAAGGUUCUGGCUAAUACCUGGGACUCAUGACGGUACCUGAAGAAUAAGCACCGGCUAACUACGUG
RNAcentral lists this ribosomal RNA (477 nucleotides) under uncultured bacterium. Its description in RNAcentral is "partial 16S ribosomal RNA". It matches the Rfam family "Bacterial small subunit ribosomal RNA", at positions 30 to 507 of the family's 1533-position model. The record is from RNAcentral.